RNAcentral lists this long non-coding RNA (268 nucleotides) under Sus scrofa (pig). Its description in RNAcentral is "lncRNA (ENSSSCG00025000536.1)". The record is from RNAcentral. Lineage: Eukaryota; Metazoa; Chordata; Mammalia; Artiodactyla; Suidae.
AGUCUGCCUCUGCUUCUCCGGCCCCACCCAUUCCCGUCCCAUUCUCUGUUCCUCUUCCUCUUUCUCUCCCUCUCCAACCCCAUCUUUUGUUUGAAAAGUUUCAAGUAGAAGGGAUUCCGGGUUCCCAGCCAAGUCACCGCAUAACGAGCGCAGGAUAGUGGACACCAUGUCUCCAUCUCUGCCUUUGAUCAGAAAGCUCAGAAGAGGAGUUCCCAUGUGGCUCAGCGGUCACCGGGGCUCCGUUUAUUAAACUGUUGCUCCAGGGCAC